CGGCCUUCGGGUUGUAAACCUCUUUCAGUAGGGAAGAAGCGAAGGUGACGGUACCUGCAGAAGAAGCGCCGGCUAACUACGUGCCAGCAGCCGCGGUAAUACGUAGGGCGCAAGCGUUAUCCGGAAUUAUUGGGCGUAAAGAGCUCGUAGGCGGUUUGUCGCGUCUGCCGUGAAAGUCCGGGGCUCAACUCCGGAUCUGCGGUGGGUACGGGCAGACUAGAGUGAUGUAGGGGAGACUGGAAUUCCUGGUGUAGCGGUGAAAUGCGCAGAUAUCAGGAGGAACACCGAUGGCGAAGGCAGGUCUCUGGGCAUUAACUGACGCUGAGGAGCGAAAGCAUGGGGAGCGAACAGGAUUAGAUACCCUGGUAGUCCAUGCCGUAAACGUUGGGCACUAGGUGUGGGGGACAUUCCACGUUUUCCGCGCCGUAGCUAACGCAUUAAGUGCCCCGCCUGGGGAGUACGGCCGCAAGGCUAAAACUCAAAGGAAUUGACGGGGGCCCGCACAAGCGGCGGAGCAUGCGGAUUAAUUCGAUGCAACGCGAAGAACCUUACCAAGGCUUGACAUGGACCGGACCGCCGCAGAAAUGUGGUUUCUCCUUUUGGGGCCGGUUCACAGGUGGUGCAUGGUUGUCGUCAGCUCGUGUCGUGAGAUGUUGGGUUAAGUCCCGCAACGAGCGCAACCCUCGUUCCAUGUUGCCAGCACGU
RNAcentral lists this ribosomal RNA (705 nucleotides) under uncultured Arthrobacter sp. RNAcentral describes it as "bacterial SSU rRNA". It matches the Rfam family "Bacterial small subunit ribosomal RNA", at positions 412 to 1126 of the family's 1533-position model. The record is from RNAcentral. Lineage: Bacteria; Bacillati; Actinomycetota; Actinomycetes; Micrococcales; Micrococcaceae.